This 465-nucleotide ribosomal RNA is filed under the name Vreelandella stevensii. RNAcentral's name for it is "partial 16S ribosomal RNA". It matches the Rfam family "Bacterial small subunit ribosomal RNA", at positions 338 to 795 of the family's 1533-position model. Lineage: Bacteria; Pseudomonadati; Pseudomonadota; Gammaproteobacteria; Oceanospirillales; Halomonadaceae. The record is from RNAcentral.
CCUACGGGUGGCAGCAGUGGGGAAUAUUGGACAAUGGGGGGAACCCUGAUCCAGCCAUGCCGCGUGUGUGAAGAAGGCCCUCGGGUUGUAAAGCACUUUCAGUGAGGAAGAACGCCUGGUGGUUAAUACCCAUCAGGAAAGACAUCACUCACAGAAGAAGCACCGGCUAACUCCGUGCCAGCAGCCGCGGUAAUACGGAGGGUGCGAGUGUUAAUCGGAAUUACUGGGCGUAAAGCGCGCGUAGGUGGCUUGAUAAGCCGGUUGUGAAAGCCCCGGGCUCAACCUGGGAACGGCAUCCGGAACUGUCAAGCUAGAGUGCAGGAGAGGAAGGUAGAAUUCCCGGUGUAGCGGUGAAAUGCGUAGAGAUCGGGAGGAAUACCAGUGGCGAAGGCGGCCUUCUGGACUGACACUGACACUGAGGUGCGAAAGCGUGGGUAGCAAACAGGAUUAGAUACCCCAGUAGUC